Styela clava is the source of this 1341-nucleotide non-coding RNA. NCBI's taxonomy places the organism in Eukaryota, Metazoa, Chordata, Ascidiacea, Stolidobranchia, Styelidae. The record is from RefSeq and is a predicted model, not a curated record.
CAGCGACACCUUGUAGCUGCAUUGAAGCAGCAAAUAUAGCAAUCGAACAACUCAAUAUUAAAUAGUCACUAAAUUCGACACAAUCAUAUAUAUAAAAGGGACAACAAAAAGAAUGCCACAAUGACCACGAAAAGUUACCUAAACAUUCACCUAAUUAGCCUCAAUCACAAAAAGGAACAACAAAGUUUGAAAAAUAAAAUACAGGAUGUCAUAAUAACUAUGGAGUAUUAGAUAUUUACCUAAUUAAACUCGAUCAUACAGAGUAAGAACAAAAUAAAAUCGAAAUAAACACCGAGAUACUACAAUGAUCACAUCGUAUUAUAUGACUUAACAGCGACAUCUGUAAGAAGGAUAUGCCUCAAUGACAACAAAGAAUUGCGAAAUAAUGCUGACUAAGCAUACACAGUAAACCAAUAUGGCGUGCCCAGCAACGGGCUUCUGGCUGCGAGAAUCAAUACCGUAUUUAACGGAUUUUUAUGUUGAAAGCGAUUGUUAGUGGCUAUUAGAGUAGUGCAGAAUAAUUAUGGGUUCUGCAGUAUUCGUGGCAUAUAGGUUGGGCGGAAAAUAUUAAAACAAGAACAGUACACAGCGAGCACACAACUUGACGAACAUGGAUGGGAAAAGCAGCACCACAGGGAUAGAAUUUACUCUCAACUGAAGAACUGCACAAGAUUUGUCGCUGUCGAGAAGAUUGGUAUCAUCAGCAAACAAUUUGGUAAAGAAGGAGGAACAACAAGUUAUGUCAUUUACAUAGACUAGAAAUAGAAGAGGACCCAAGCAACUACCUUGAGGAACUCCGUGAGUCACUGAUUUGAAAAGAGGGAUCACUCGGGCAAUUUUGAGACAUGCAGGGAAGAUUCCAAACAAAAGUGAACAAUUGAAGAAUUCAGCCAAACAUGGUGCAAUGAGAUCAGCAACUAAUUUAAGGAAACGUGCUGGUAUGUUGUCUGGACCAACUGCCUUCCUGUCUUUCAAAUUAUGUAUUUCUAUUAUCAAUUCAUUUGUAGUCGCUGGGCUCAUGAAGAUGGACUGGUUUAUACAAUUGUGAAGAAAUUGUUUAAAGCUAUCCUGUUCAGUGGAAAACUUGCCUGAAAGGCUAGACCCAAUUGUAGAAAAAUACUUAUUAAAUUCUGUAGCAAUCAAAAGUUCAUCUCUAAUUAUAGAGCCAUUUUCAAUAUCGAUCUCGUUAACUUUUUGAUUAGAUUUAUUUUUUACAUGAGUGAUUUCGUUAACUGUUUGCCAUGUUGACCUAGGAUUACCUUUGUUUUUAGCAAUAAGGUUUUGAUAAUAGGUUUGUUUUGAAUCAUCUAUGGCUCUAAUCAAAACAUUUCUAUACUUUUU